UCUCUCUUCCUCCAUAAAACUCAACUCACAGUGGAUUAAGAAUCUAGGCAUUAGACCAGAGACCCUGCAUCUAAUAAAAGAAAAAAUAGGCCUAAAUUUAUAUCAUGUUGGCUUAGAAACCACCUUCCUUAACAAGACUCUAAAUGCACAAGAAAUAAAAUCAAGAACCAACAAAUGGGAUGGGUUCAAAAUAAAAAGCUUACUCACAGGAAAAAAAAUCAAUAAUGUGAAGAGAAAGCCUAGAGAAUGGGAGAAAAUUUUUGCCAUGUGAACCUCAGAUAGAGCGCUAAUUUCCAAGAUAUAUAAUUAACUCAAAAAACUUAAAACACACACACACACACACAGAAAUAAAUGGGCUAAAGAUCUGAACAAACACUUCACAGAACAAGAAAUACAAAUGGUCAAAAAAUUCUCAAGAAAAUAUUCAACAUCUCUAGCAAUUAGAGAAAUGCAAAUUAAAACAACACUGAACUUUCAUCUCACUACAGUCAGAAUAGAAAUUAUCAAGAAUACAAGCAACAAUAAAUGAUGGUGAGGAUGUGGGAGGAAAGCUUUCAUUCAUCCAUUGUUGGUGGGACUGCAAAUUUCUGCAAACAUUAUGGAUAGCAGUGUGGAGAUUCCUCAGAAUGUUUGGAAUGGAACCACCAUUUGAGCCAGUUAUCCCACUCCUCAGUGUAUACCCAAAAGAAUUAAAAUCAGCAUACUACAGUGACACAGUCACUUCAGUGUUUAUCCAACUAAACUAUGGAACCAACCUACAUGCCCUUCAAUAGAUGAAUGAAUAAUGAAACUGGUAUAUACACACAAUGGAAUACUACUGAGUCAUAAAGAAAAAUGAUAUUAUAAUGUUUGCUGGCAAAUUGAUGUAACUGGAGAAUGACAUGCUAAGUGAAAUAAGCCAACCAGAUUAAGAAAAGGCUGAAAGUUUUCUGUU
This 934-nucleotide long non-coding RNA is filed under the name Marmota monax (woodchuck). Lineage: Eukaryota; Metazoa; Chordata; Mammalia; Rodentia; Sciuridae. The record is from RNAcentral.